Lathyrus oleraceus (garden pea) is the source of this 1196-nucleotide long non-coding RNA. RefSeq lists it as uncharacterized. The transcript has 3 exons. Lineage: Eukaryota; Viridiplantae; Streptophyta; Magnoliopsida; Fabales; Fabaceae. The record is from RefSeq and is a predicted model, not a curated record.
AAUUGUGUGUUAAAUGCACGUGGAAAAUUCAUUGAAUGAUAGUUAAUACACCACACAUUAAAGCACAUGAAAGAACAAAAGGCUUAGAACCAAAUGAAAAGCAAACGCAAUUCAAUCCCUCAUAUCCCAGUCACCGUCUCCUCCGCGCCGGAGGCUUCCUCGGCGGCGGAGAUUUCCAAAAUCAGAAAUCCAAACAUCAAUCUUUCCCUCUCAAUAUCCUUUACACGAAUCCAUAAACAAAUUUCUCCAAUUCGAACCCCCAUGUCUAAACCGAAGCAUUUACCUCAAGAACCCUAAAUCCUAAAUCCUAAAUUAAACUCUCAAAAAGAGGAAUCCAAGCCUCUAAUCUUAGGGCUUUGGUUCCUCCAACUACAUGAUUGUAAUUCGAAUUAGGGCAAAACGGUUGAAGGGGGUGCUUACCUAGCGGAGAUGGGGAGUUUAUAAGUUCGAAGGCAGAGUGAGUUGAAGACGACGAUACAAGCUGAUCAAGCAACUUCCGAAAAAUCUUUAAUUCGUGAAGCUGAAUGAAUCAACACGGAGUUGCUUGCACUAAAGGAGACAUGCUGAACUAGUGACACUUUGCUUCGACUACAACUUUUGUUAGCUUGGUUAGGCAGAUUUGUGCUAUGCAAGUGGACAGAGUUUUUAGAACCUCUAAUAAGCAAUUUUGCAGGUGCAAAUUAACUCUGUCAUGCAGAUUGUAAUGGCUCGAAUUGUGUUCACACAUUGCAGUUUGGACUCCAUUGAUUUGCUGCUAUGAGAUUUUGAACGUGCUUGGCGUAUUGUUACAGUAAUGGCUCUAAAUCUGACUAUGGUUUGAAUGAUUGGGCAAUGUUGGAUGGUUGCAAUUGACUCAGCUAGGCAAUGAUUGGAUAAUUUUUACAGGUUUUAGGUGUGGUUAUGUGAUGGGAAAAUAGCAAGUGUACUAUUUUUCUCACUGUAGUAAUAAAAGGGAAAUUCCCCGUUUGUCGAUCUCAAGGACUGCUUGACGACACAGAGUUUAUAGAUUGUUUCAAUUAGACAAAAACCUUUGGUUUCUGUGUUGUGAUUAAUUAUACUACCAAUUGCAGAUAAAUAAAACAAGUAGAAAGGUUGAGCGAGAUACAAAUGAGAGAAGAUUGCUAGGGUUCGGUGAAUGAAACUUCUUGUAACAGAUAUAAUUUAUGAAGGUUUAGACAAUAUUCCUGUCCAAUUAA